This is a long non-coding RNA of Mastomys coucha (southern multimammate mouse), 538 nucleotides long. RefSeq lists it as uncharacterized. Lineage: Eukaryota; Metazoa; Chordata; Mammalia; Rodentia; Muridae. The record is from RefSeq and is a predicted model, not a curated record. The transcript has 3 exons.
UACUGUUGUUCUCAAUUCUAAACUCAGGAACUGAGGCCACAUCAUCCUGGAAGACUAAGAGGAGACACUACAUCCUGUGCAGGAACCUCAACUACUUGAAAGAAAGUGAAAUAAUAAGCCCAGGGAUGACCUUGUAAGGAGGCAAGUUCAUGUGCUGUUCAUCUUAGUGAUCUGCCCAUUGCCAGCAGCAGUGACCCAAGACUAGGCAGAUAUUGAUGCUGAAAAAAGAUCCUGAUCCUGCUGCUUUGGCUUUUACUUACUGACAUGGGAACCCAUUGUGGUUGUUGGCAUCAGGAUUGGCUCUGAACCUAAUGAUAUCACAUCUAGGCGACAGCAACCUGCACAUCUGUUUUCAAGGCAACCACCACCAUAUUCCCAGAAUCCACUUGGUCUACCUCCCACCUGUACCUUCGAACAGCUAUGCCACUAGUCACUAUCCAAAUAAAAGAAAGACCCCUCUGACCUCUCCCCCUACCCCCACUUCUCCUCGCCUCCACCUUUGCCCUUUUCUCCUACAAUAAACCUUACAUGGAACUGU